This 714-nucleotide ribosomal RNA is filed under the name uncultured Staphylococcus sp. Its description in RNAcentral is "bacterial SSU rRNA". It matches the Rfam family "Bacterial small subunit ribosomal RNA", at positions 59 to 756 of the family's 1533-position model. Lineage: Bacteria; Bacillati; Bacillota; Bacilli; Caryophanales; Staphylococcaceae. The record is from RNAcentral.
AAGUCGAGCGAGCGGACGAGAAGCUUGCUUCUCUGAUGUUAGCGGCGGACGGGUGAGUAACACGUGGAUAACCUACCUAUAAGACUGGGAUAACUUCGGGAAACCGGAGCUAAUACCGGAUAAUAUUUUGAACCGCAUGGUUCAAAAGUGAAAGACGGUCUUGCUGUCACUUAUAGAUGGAUCCGCGCUGCAUUAGCUAGUUGGUAAGGUAACGGCUUACCAAGGCAACGACGCAUAGCCGACCUGAGAGGGUGAUCGGCCACACUGGAACUGAGACACGGUCCAGACUCCUACGGGAGGCAGCAGUAGGGAAUCUUCCGCAAUGGGCGAAAGCCUGACGGAGCAACGCCGCGUGAGUGAUGAAGGUCUUCGGAUCGUAAAACUCUGUUAUUAGGGAAGAACAUAUGUGUAAGUAACUGUGCACAUCUUGACGGUACCUAAUCAGAAAGCCACGGCUAACUACGUGCCAGCAGCCGCGGUAAUACGUAGGUGGCAAGCGUUAUCCGGAAUUAUUGGGCGUAAAGCGCGCGUAGGCGGUUUUUUAAGUCUGAAGUUAAAGGCAUUGGCUCAACCAAUGUACGCUUUGGAAACUGGAGAACUUGAGUGCAGAAGGGGAGAGUGGAAUUCCAUGUGUAGCGGUGAAAUGCGUAGAUAUAUGGAGGAACACCGGUGGCGAAAGCGGCUCUCUGGUCUGUAACUGACGCUGAGGCUCGA